AUGCUUGCUGUGACAGCACAUGUUCUAAAACUGGCAACAAUGCAUAGAUUAGCACAGCCCCUGUGCAAGGACAUGGAAAUGCAUGAGGCAGGCUGUACUUUA
This 102-nucleotide small nuclear RNA is filed under the name Fukomys damarensis (Damara mole-rat). The record is from RNAcentral. Lineage: Eukaryota; Metazoa; Chordata; Mammalia; Rodentia; Bathyergidae.